GAGGCUUUAGCUUAAUUAAAGUGUCUGAGUUGCAUUCAGAGAGAUGUAUAUUAAAGUUACACAGGCCUUC
RNAcentral lists this transfer RNA (70 nucleotides) under Bavayia campestris. RNAcentral's name for it is "tRNA-Ala". Lineage: Eukaryota; Metazoa; Chordata; Lepidosauria; Squamata; Diplodactylidae. The record is from RNAcentral.